This 462-nucleotide ribosomal RNA is filed under the name uncultured bacterium. RNAcentral describes it as "bacterial SSU rRNA". It matches the Rfam family "Bacterial small subunit ribosomal RNA", at positions 335 to 790 of the family's 1533-position model. The record is from RNAcentral.
ACUCCUACGGGAGGCAGCAGUGGGGAAUAUUGCACAAUGGGCGCAAGCCUGAUGCAGCCAUGCCGCGUGUGUGAAGAAGGCCUUCGGGUUGUAAAGCACUUUCAGUCGUGAGGAAGGUAGUGUAGUUAAUAGCUGCAUUAUUUGUACGUUAGCGACAGAAGAAGCACCGGCUAACUCCGUGCCAGCAGCCGCGGUAAUACGGAGGGUGCGAGCGUUAAUCGGUAAUUACUGGGCGUAAAGCGCAUGCAGGUGGUUUGUUAAGUCAGAUGUGAAAGCCCGGGGCUCAACCUCGGAAUAGCAUUUGAAACUGGCAGACUAGAGUACUGUAGAGGGGGUAGAAUUUCAGGUGUAGCGGUGAAAUGCGUAGAGAUCUGAAGGAAUACCGGUGGCGAAGGCGGCCCCUGGACAGAUACUGACACUCAGAUGCGAAAGCGUGGGAGCAAACAGGAUUAGAUACCCCGU